RNAcentral lists this non-coding RNA (31 nucleotides) under Rattus norvegicus (Norway rat). The record is from RNAcentral. Lineage: Eukaryota; Metazoa; Chordata; Mammalia; Rodentia; Muridae.
UGACAGAGCUCAGUCCUUCAUGGAGAUUUGU